GGUAAUCCGUGGAAAUAAUGUGGUUACUGUAGAGGCACUUGAACCUGUAAACAGGAGCAUCUGAUUUCUGUUUCUUGUGAAUAUUUAUAACAAAAUUGUAAGGUUUCAAGUUUCAACACAAAUUAUUAUAUUGCUGGGAUCUCAAUAUGAUUGUGUUAGCGCCUAAUCUGAGGUUAUGUUUCUGGUUGAGUUUCAACAAAAUGAUUUUUUUGUGAUAUCAAAUUCUUCAAAACACCCUAUAAUGACAUAUUAGUUGAGAGUGAAAAAAAAGUGUGUGAGGAGGUUCUUUUAGGGGACCAGUAUUUUAGCUAAUUGCAGUUUUCCCUUUGUUGUUACUUGAGCAAUGUGCUUUUCUUCAGCCCCUUUUUCACCUCUUAUGUCACAGUAAAUGUACUUGUAAGGAUUAAAUGGUGGACCAUGAUUGAAUAAAUGAACGAAAUAAACAAAAUAUGAAUGAGGAUGUGGAAAUUCUUGGAUAUGAAUGAAAAUUUUCCAAUGUAAUCAAGAAAUAUGAAUGAAAAUUAGGAAUAUGAAAUGUAGAAUCUCGAAUGUGAAAAUGGAGAAUAUAAAUGCGAAUGAAGAAAUAUGUAUGGAAUUCUUUGAAUUAUGAAUGAAUGAGAAAAUGAAUAUGGAUGAUGACCUAAUGUAAUGUUUUGUACUUUACAUAGGAAUUCAUUAAAAGAGUGGGUGAGAACUAAAAAAUAUGCCAAUGAAAAAAUGAAUGGUCACAUGAAUGAAUAAUUGUAAUAUGAGGGAGACAAAAUAUGGAUUAAAAUUGGAUAUGAGAAUGAAAGUCAUGACAUUCGAACUGAUUUUGUCAGAAUAUAACAAACAUCUAAAGCCCAAACAGAGAGGUAAAACUCUAAUAGUCAUGGAAUAGCAAGUAGUGGGAAUGUUUAAACAACCAGUGUAAGUCGAUAGAUUUAUGACCGGAUGAAACGGUCAUGAGGAGGAAAGAAAAUUAAUGAUUGAUGAAAAAAAAUUCAGGACCAAAAUCAGGGUAUAACAGUUGCCCCUAUUUAAACAUCCUCCAUAAGAGGAAAAUGAAAUAGCACUUUCCAUCGGAUUGUAGUGGGGGAUGGUUAAAUACUAUGGAGACCCAGAUUUUGAUCCUGAAAAAUGCAAAUGUUAUGAUAUGAUAUGCAUGGAUGCAUGAUUCUUUAUAUUAUUUUUUUGAAUUUGUCUGUUAGGGACACAGUGAACUUUUAGCACGAGAUAUUAUAACAGACAAACCAAUAUGUGGGGGACUCUGAUGACCCACAGGGAAAUAGACAAACAAAUGUACAACCAACUCGCUGGGGGAUAACAAUCCUGCUGGAGAGUCAGACACACACUGGGAAGUAGUUGAAGUGAAAGUUGACAAACGACACUUAGAACACCAGAUACUUUGAUAGUAAGUUCACACAUGGCUUACUACAACUUGAAUAUUUAAAAUUUCUACAACAGGUUCAUACAUGACCUGAUAACAUUGAAACAAUCAUAGAGAAAGAUUCUUCAAAACAGGUUCAUACAUGACCUGGUAAUACUGGAAUGAAAGCUCAACAGCAGGUUCAUACAUGUUCUGACAAUGCUGGGGAAUAUCAAGAAAUUCUGACAACAGGUUCAGACAUGACCUAACAAACUCAGAAAAAUUCAAAAAGAGUAUAUCAACAGGUUCAUACACGAUCUGAUGACAAACUUGAACAUUUUGAGAAAAUUUCCAGAACAAGUUCAUACAUGACCUAACAUCAUUGGAACAAAAGGUUCAGCAACAGGUUCAAAUAUGACCUAAGAAUAUUAGAAAACCAAAGAAUUUUUAAUCAACAGGUUCAUAUGUGACCUUAACAAUUGGAUAUUCAAGGAAAGUUUCACUCACAGGUUCAGACAUGACCUGACGAUUCUGGAGAAAGUCGAAGAAUUUAAUAACAGGUUCAGACGUGACCUGACAAACUGACCCAAAGAAAACUUCAACCAUAGGUUCACACAUGACCCAAAAAUACUGAAAAACAUACAUAUCAAGUUUCCUCAAUAGGUUCAUACAUGACCUGACACUUUAUAAUACAUCUGACAAUUCUGGAGAUUUCUCACAAGAAAUUCAUCCAAUCAAAGAUUUUGGAGAUUCUUAAUAGGGAAAUUAUGCAAAACAAAGAUAAGCAGGAGUCUUCUUAUAAGUAGAUCAUCCGUGCAAAUUUCUCACAAGAAAUUCAUCCAAUCAAAGAUUUUGGAGAUUCUUAAUAGGGAAAUUAUGCAAAACAAAGAUAAGCAGGAGUCUUCUUAUAAGUAGAUCAUCCGUGCAAAAGGCUAUGAUGAUUCUUUUACAAAGAAAUCAAACAAAACCAACAUCGUUGGAGUUUUCUAACACGAAAAACCUCCAAGCUUCUGGGAAUUCCUCAAGAUGAUAAGUCAUACAUGACUUUCACGAAACCAUCAGGAAAGAUAGGGUAAUUAAACUCUCUGUACGUGCCAAACAACAAUUGGACUUUUAACCGUAAGUAAAGGAUUACAACCAACUUCUAACGGACAGGUGCCAACAACAAUUGGACUUUGACUGUAAGCAAUGGAUUACAACCAGCUUUUAACAGAUUGAUGCCAACAACAAUUGGACUUUGACUGUAAGCAAUGGAUUACAACCAGCUUCUAACAGAUUUUGCCAACAACACUUGGACUUGAAAUGAUGUUGGUGACAACCAAAAUUCAAAUACCAAUUACAAUUGUACUUACAAACAGACUGACAGUGAUGCCAACGAUGAUUUGAACUUCUGAAAUGAUACUAGUGUCAACUGGUCUUUGGGUCAAGGGAUAACAAUCAACAACGGGACCGAAGGGGUCACACACAUGGAUAUAGAGUACACUUUGAACCAUGCAUGACUUGAUUUUUGUUUUAUGCAUGAUAUAUGAAUGAUCAUGAUACGCAAUGCUGACAAUAGGAAGACUGGGAGUUUGUAUGGACUGUUUACAGGGAUUCUGAUUCCUCAACACCAAUAUCUCAAACCCGUACAAUUAACAGGUGUAUCCAGAGGAGAAUCUAUCAUGAUUGACAGUUAUGAAUAACCAAAGGUCCAUCCUUCCAUAGGAUUAACAAGUUGUGUUCCAUGGAGAUUUUUGUUGGUGAUCCAGGAAUAUUUAUGCAACCUUGAGACUUUCGGGAAAACAAAUGAUUUUCUCUUGAUUUUCACCUAUAUCAAAGUAAUUUUGUUCUUUUCACUAAAUUUCAGAUUCUUUUUCAAUGUUUCAAAAUUUCAUUAUUAACAAAUAAAUGACACUAUGCAUAAUAAAGAAAGACAUAGAAAAACACAAUUAGCAAUGAUUAACAGGCAAAACUUGUAUUUUAUUCAAGAAUGGUAGCACACAAAUGGCGUAGCUCCAUAGAAUGUAACAAUUUUUGGAAAAUGGCAAUGUGGAAAGGUUUACGUUGAAUUCAGUGACCACUAACAUCCGUAAUAGAUAUGAUUCUCCCUAAACCUUGCUUCUAACGGGAGUAACUAGAUUGAUCUUCCGCCUCAGAUUCUUCGGUGUUAAUCAGUAACAACUAAUGCAGUUUAUGCCUUGUGCCCCAAACUUUUGCCUGGAUCGCCCUUUCGGGUUUUCAAUCCACCGGGACGCUCCUUUUUGCCUAAGUCGCCUUUUCAGGUUUUCAACUUAGCGAGCUACCACUUUUUUUAUUCAUCCCUAACUUUUGCCUGGACUGCCCUUUCGGGUUUUCAGUCCACCGGGAUACCCUUUUUUUUGCCUAAAUCGCCCUUUCAGGUUUUCGAUUUAGCGGGUUUUUAUUAGGCAUAGUAUUUUUAACUGCAUCAGAGUUCACGGGGUGUGAGAGCUCUUCAUCAUCCAUAGUUAUGAGAAUCAAGGCGCCUCCGGAGAAAUCUUUCUUCACAACAUAUGGGCCUUCAUAAUUGGGAGUCCACUUCCAACGUGAGUCCUUGUGUAUUGGCAAGAUCUUCUUAAGCACGAGGUCUCCUUCUCUGAAUUCCCGAACACGUACUUUCUUGUCAAAAGUCCUUUUGAGCCGUUUCUGGUAUAACUGUCCAUGGCACAAAGAAGUCAUUCACUUCUCAUCUAUGAAGUUUAACUGAUUAAAUCUAUUUUGAAUCCACUUAGCCUCUUCUAGCUUGGAUUCCAUCAGGAUUCUCAUUGAAGGUAUCUCCACUUCAAUUGGGAGAACUACUUCCAUCCCAUAUACCAAAGAGAACGGGAUUUCCCCUGUUGAAGUGCGGACGGAAGUCCGAUAUCCAUGCAGUGCAAAGGGUAGCAUUUCGUGCCAAUCCUUAUAGGUUUUCACCAUUUUCUGCAGGAUCUUCUUGAUGUUUUUAUUAGCGGCUUCAACAGCGCCAUUCAUUUUUGGAUGAUAGGUGAAGAGUUUAUGGUGUUUCCAAUCUUGAAGCUUUCGCAUAAUUCUUCAUGGUCUUAUUGUUCAGAUUCGUCCACUUAUCUGUGAUGAUCCGGCGUUGGAAUUCCAUACGGCAAAUGAUCUCUUUCUUGAGAACCGUGCAAACCACUUGCUUUAUCACAUUAGCUAAGAGUGCGGCUUCUACCCAUUUUGCGGUAAAGUAUAUCAAUGGCAACCAGGAUUGAAGCGGUGACCAUUGGAAAGCUUUAGGCUCAAUGGCGCCAAUCAUGUCGAUGCCCACAUUGAGAAAGGCCAAGGUGAGUCAAAACAUUUAGUUGGUCGGAAGGCACGUGAUUGUACCUUGUCGGCAUGUACGAUCUUGCAUUUAUGAGCAUUUUCUAGCAUAAUUGAAGCAGUCGGAUUCCAUGGUCAACCAGUAAUAACCAGCUCUCAAAAUCUUCUUAGCCAUGGCAUGCCCAUUGGCAUGAGUUCCAAAGGAUCCUUCAUGAAUCUCCUUGAUCAGCAGGUUUGCUUCACGUCCAUCCACGCAUCUAAGCAGGAUCAUGUCGUGGUUUCUCUUGUAUAACACACCAUUGCUUAAGAAGAAUUUGGAUGCUAACUUCCUCAAUGUUUUCUUGUCAAGGGUUGUUGCAUCUGUUGGAUAUUCUUGAUCUUGUAAAAAGCAUUUGAUGUCGUGAAACCAAGGUUUACCAUUGGCUUCCUCUUCAACUGACUAGCAGUAGGCAGGCUCAACUUUCCGCUCGAUCUGAAUGAGAGGUGCUUCAUUGUGGAAUCUAACUUGGUACAUUGAAGCCAACAUAGCCAAAGCAUCAGCAAUUUGAUUCUCAGUUCUCGGGAUAUGACGGAAAGUGAUUUCGUCAAAGUAUUUUAUUAGUUCCAUGACAUAGGCACGAUAGGAAUCUAACUUGGUACAUUGAAGCCAACAUAGCCAAAGCAUCAGCAAUUUGAUUCUCAGUUCUCGGGAUAUGACGGAAAGUGAUUUCGUCAAAGUAUUUUAUUAGUUCCAUGACAUAGGCACGAUAGGGGAUCAACUUGGUAUCACGGGUUUCCCAUUCGCCUUUGACUUGGUAUAUCACCAAAGCCGAGUCUCCACAUACUUCGAGGAUUUUGAUUCGGAGGUCAAUUGUUGCUUCAAUGCCUCUGAUGCACACCUCAUAUUCUUCUAUAUUAUUUGUGCAAUCAAAACACAACCUUGUUGUGAAAGGAGUGUAUCCACCAUUUAGAUUCAAUAGAACAGCUCCUACGCCAUGCCCCAUGUAAUUGGAGGAACCAUCGAACAUGAGCUUCCACCGAGAUCCGGGUUCAGGUCCUUCAUCAAGCCCUGGGAUUUCACAAUCUUUUACUACCAUAAUGUCUUCAUCAGGAAAGUCAAAUUUCAACGGCUGGUAGUCUUCAACGGGCUGGUUUGCCAGGUAAUCAGACAACACACUUCCUUUAAUGGCUUUCUGAGAUACAUAUUGGAUGUCAUACUCAGAUAGUAACAUCUGCCAACAUCUUCAACGGGCUGGUUUGCCAGGUAAUCAGACAACACACUUCCUUUAAUGGCUUUCUGAGAUACAUAUUGGAUGUCAUACUCAGAUAGUAACAUCUGCCAACGGGCGAGUCUUCCAGUUAAAGCAGACUUCUCAAAGAUGUACUUUAUUGGAUCCAUUUUUUAGAUCAACAAAGUAGUGUGGCAAAUCAUGUAUUGUCUUAGACAACGAGCGGCCCAUGCUAAAGCACAACAAGUUUUCUCCCAGAGUGAAUAUCGGGUUUCACAAUCGGUAAAUCUCUUACUUAGAUAGUAGAUGGCAUGCUCCUUUCGGCCGGUUUCAUCAUGUUGUCCCAGCACACAUCCCAUUGACUUUUCAAGCACAGUUAAGUACAUAAAGAGUGGUUUCCCCUGAACAUGUGGAAUUAGAAUAGGGGGCUCUUGCAGGUAUUGUCCGAUUUUCUCAAAAGCCAUCUGACAGUCAGAAUUCCAUUCAACUGCUUGAUCUUUUCUCAGUAACUUGAAUAUAGGUUCACACGUAGCAGUCAUAUGAAAUAUAAAUCUAGAGAUGUAGUUCAAACGUCCCAGGAAUCCUCUGACUUCUUUCUCUGUACGUGGAGAAGGCAUUUCUUGUAUUGCCCUAACCUUGUCUGGAUCUACCUCAAUUCCUCGUUGACUAACAAUGAAACCAAGCAACUUUCCAGAUCGGACACCGAAGGUGCAUUUAGCAGGAUUCAGCCGUAGUCGAAAUUUCCGAAGACGCUCAAAUAGCUUUUGCAAGUGAUCUAUAUGAUCCUCUUCACUUUGGGAUUUUGCAAUCAUAUCAUCUACAUAAACCUCAAUUUCCUUAUGCAUCAUAUCAUGGAAAAGAGUGACCGUUGUUCUUUGGUAAGUUGCCCCAGCAUUUUUGAGACCAAAUGGCAUUACCUUGUAGCAGAAUGUUCCCCAACGGGUGAUGAAUGCCAUAUUUUCCAUGUCUUCUGGAUCCAUCUUAACUUGAUUGUAACCCGAGAAUCCGUCCAUAAAGGAGAAGACCGCGAACUUAGCAGUGUUGUCUACCAGAGUGUCAAUAUGUGGCAGGGGGAAAUCGUCCUUUGGACUAGCUUUGUUUAGAUCCCUAUAAUCAACACACAUCCUGACCUUGCCAUUCUUUUUGGGUACUGGUACAAUAUUAGCUACCCAUUAAGGGUACUUUGCAACUGUUAGAAAACCGACAUCAAAUUGAUGUUUCACCUCGUCACAAAUCUUUAGAGCCAUGUCGGGUCUUGCUCUUCGGAGUUUCUGCUUCACUGGCGGGUGAUUUGGCUGUAGUGGUAGCUUGUGGACAACAAUAUCAGAAUCUAAACCUGGCAUAUCCUGGUACGACCAAGCGAAUACAUCUACAUACUCUUGUAGCAACUUGAUCAAUCUUUCUUUGAUGCUUGCCCCAAGUGUAGUCCCAACUUUGACCUCUUUCUUGUCUUCCUCAGUGCCAAGGUUGAUUGUUUCCACUGGUUCUUGAUGCGGCUGAAGGGCCUUUGACUCGUGCUCGAGGCAUCCUUUCCAUUCUUCAGGGAAUCACAAUCAUCCUGCAUUCCUCUUCUGCUUGGGUAAGUGGGGAGACUUUCAAAGUUAUAGGGAAGUGUGGGGUCAUCGGAAUUCAACUAGUUUAGUUGAUUAUUCUGCUGUUUUUAAUGAUUGUUUUUUUAGAAAAAAUGGGAAAUAAAAUGCAAAAGAAUUCAAAAUAUGUUUUGUAGUUUUUGAAAGGAUUGCCAUUUUAAGGAAAGAAAAACAAAUGAAUGAACGAUAAGAAUUUGAACAAAAUGCUCUUUAUUUGUCAUAAUGAUUUUUGAAAUUUAAAGGGGGCAUACAAAUGAUCCAUUAGCCUUGGGCAGAGCUAAGGAUUUUCAAAAAAACAAAGGAAAACACGAUUACUUUGACACAGGAAAAACUUAUGAAAUCUCAACUGCUUCCCAAUUUGUUAAAGCUGCUUCACACCGGUAUAUCAGAUUUGAUGCUUCUCCAUCUUCAGUGUCAUCUUCAACUGCACCAACCUGAUCUCCAUGGAUAAAUCAUGUGCUUAGGAAAACUUCUUGUAUGCUCCGCGCGCGGUCCUUUGCAGGGACCAGGGCUCCUCCCUUAGCAGAAGGCUUGUACCCCAAACCAAAACGAUCAUUUUUCUCGCUGACAUUGAUGACCUUCUCCCAACCUGCAGGGCCUCCACUUUCAACUGCUGAUCUUGCACUAUUCAAAGAGGCGAACGACAAACUGGUUUUCUCAAUGGGAUCCUCCACCUCAGCAAGUGUGGCGUUGGAUAUUUCGAGCGCUUGGAAAGAGGUUUCUAAGGCAUCCUCAUCAGCCUUAAUAUAACGGAAAGAGGAGAGUUGACUGAUGAUAAAAUCUUCUUCACCCGAGACAAUGACGAGUUUGUCAUCGACAACAAACUUCAUUUUCUGAUGCAAAGUAGAAGUCACUGCCCCAGCAGCAUGUAUCCAUGGACGUCCCAAAAGGCAACUGUAAGCGGGAUUUAUGUCCAUGACUUGGAAAUUGUUGGGGAAUACAUGCGGUCCGAUCUGUAUUGGUAGCUCUACCUCCCCACCUACCGUCCUCCGAGAACCAUCAAACGCCUUUACCACAAGUGCACUAGGUUUCAAUUCCGAACCUUGGUAAGAUAAUUUAGCAAGUGCCCUCUUCGGUAGAACAUUGAGGGACGAUCCAGUGUCAACUAAAACUCUGGCCAGAGCAUCUUCUUGGCACUUUAUGGAUACAUGUAAGGCGCGGUUGUGAUUCUUCCCUUCUUUGGGUAGCUCUUCAUUUCUGAAACUUAGAGUGUUGCAGGCUGUGAUAUUGGCGACCACCCCAUCGAGUUGGCCAACCGUUAUAUCUUGGGUAACAUGAGCCUGAGCAAGCACUUUCAGUAGAGCCUCCCUAUGAGCUUCGAAAUUCAUAAGCAAAGACAAGAUAGAUAUUUUUGACGAUGUCUGAUGUAACUAAUCAACUAUCUUGUAGUCGGAUUUCUUUAUUAUUCUUAGAAAUUCACUCGCUUCAUCUGCUUGCACUGCCGACUGUGCCCCUCCACUGCGGGUCAUCCUGCUCGUCCCUGCAAUGUUAGUGACAUCGGUGUCAACAUUCUCCAAGCCUUUCUCACUUUCAGCAGCUUUGGGUUUUCCAUCUACCACAGUUAUGUCAUACUUCCAAGGUACCACUUUGGUGCUUUCAAAGGGAAAGGGGGUAGGCAUACAAACUAUCACGGGUGAUGGAUGAACAACAUCUUUUCUAUGAUAAGUUAUCUCAAACGGUUCUGGUAGAUUGAAAACGAGUUCAAUGACUGAAACUUCCUCGUUUGUUGUAGGACCACAAAUUUGUAAAACACCUUGAUCCAUCAAGUUCUAAAUGUCAUUUCGUACCACUUUACAUCCCCUUGGAUGAAUGACACAUUCUUCACAAUUGUCGUGGUGUGUAUUAAUCAAACUAGAUCCCACCAAUCUGGCAUGAAGUGCUAUCAAUGGAGUUUUAACAUCUUCAACAUCUUUGAUUAUACAAACACCAGAAGCAUCCUCGAUGGCAUUGACAUCACCAUGCGCCGGCAGAGGGUUACUUUUUACGUUGGGUCCGAUAUCUCGAAAUGAAAGAAUCUUCUUCUCAACCAGCUCACGCACAAUAUGCUUCAAAGCAUAACAUCCCUCUAAAUCAUGCCCAGGGGCACCCUCAUGGAAAGGACAAGGGGCAUCUGGAUUGUACCAUGGAGGUAAGGGAUUUGGUGGAGGACCCAAAGGUCUGGGAGUCACCAACCCUUUUCGUAGUAACGAUGGGUACAAUUCAGUGUAUGUCAUAGGGAUUGAAGCAAACGGAAGUCUACCUCUUUGUACCCUAUUUUGAUUUGGAGGAUUUUGUGACAUAGGGAUUGAAGCAAACGGAAGUCUACCUCUUUGUACCCUAUUUUGAUUUGGAGGAUUUUGUGGACGAGGAGCCUGUGCCCUUGGCUGUUGAUAAGCAGGUGGCGCGGGCGCUUGCUGGUAUACUCGUGCUUGUUGAACAGGUUGAUAGACAGGAACUUGUGACUGGUUGAAAUUUGGUGUGACUGCUGCCACAUAUGGUUGUUGAACAUACUGCACUGGAUAAGUUGGUUGCUGAGCAAAUUGAUGUUGCUUCUUCAACGAAUGACUCCUCCUUUGACUGGUUGACACUGCAUUUGUUUCACCCUCUUUCAUUCUUUGAAAACUUCUGGGAAACUUUUUGGCAUUAUUACCAGAUGUUUUAGAGGUGGUUAUCAUUUUUCCAUUCUUCAAUCCAAGCUCGACCUUUAUGCCCACGACGACCAAGUCAGAGAAGCUUCCAGAUACAUUACUCACCAUUCUUUCAUAGAACAUAGGUUUUACCGUAUCCAUGAACCAAUCUGCUAACUCUUUCUCAGCAAGGGGUGGUUCGACUUGCGAGGCCACUUCCCUCCAUCGUUGUGCAUAUUCCUUAAAAGACUCGUUAUCUUUCUGGGACAUGCUGAGCAAUUGCCUCCUAUCUAGGUCCAUAUCCAUGUUAUACUUAUAAUGUUGGAUGAAAGCAUCAUAUAAGUCUUGGAAACAACGAAUUCUACUUUGAUCAAGGCUUAAGUACCACUUAGAGGGAGCACCCCUUAAGCUGUCUUGGAAGCAAUGUAUCAUAAGUUUAUCGUCCUCUACGUGCGCAGCCAUUUUUCGAUAGUACAUAAUAAGGUGACUUUUAGGACACGAAUGACCCUCACACCUAUCGAAAUCUGGGGUCUUGAAUUUAACAGGAAUCACAAGACCUGACACUAAGCACAUCUUCUUAGUAGUAGCACCAAAAACUUGGUCACCUUCCAUAGCCCUUAACCUUUUCUCCAGAAUCUGGAAAUUCUCUUUCAUCCCCCUUAUGUCUUCUUGCCUUUCAUCAUCUUCGUCCGAAAAGUCCGGAGCAUGUUGUUGAUCCUCAAAGUAAGGUUGCACAUGCAUACGAACGAGAGGUGGUGCGAACGUGUGGACCACGGGAUGAGUUUCAUUGAUGGUUGGUAGAGGAGCCGUUUGCUGAGUGGAUUUUGCAAAACCAGGGGCGCCUUCAACUGGAGGUGUGAAAGCGGGAGGUAAACCAUAGGCUGGCCAGGUGGUUGGUACUGUCCUUGCAGGUUGGGGUUCAAUCGUGGGACCGGCGAUUUCUGAAACGACCGUCGUUUGGGUGUCCAACUUGGCCCUAAUGACCUGUAGUAUCUCCAUGACUUGACCCAUGUUUCCUCGUAGGUCUUCGAAGUUGGGGUUCAAUCGUGGGACCGGCGAUUUCUGAAACGACCGUCGUUUGGGUGUCCAACUUGGCCCUAAUGACCUGUAGUAUCUCCAUGACUUGACCCAUGUUUCCUCGUAGGUCUUCGAGUUCUGAACUCACUCGCUCCAAUUCUUGUUCUUGGUCUGCCAUUCUUCGACGAGCGCUGGCUCUGGUGUUGUAGUGGUGUUGAGGACUCAGUGUGUAACAACUGAUAGAGAAAACGGAAUGAGUUUUUAUUUACUUAUAUGAAGAAUGCAUGUAUGUAUGAAUGCAUUUUAUGUUUAUUUAUUUUUAGGGAUUCUUAUAAACUUUGCAGUUGUUGAGCACGCACUUUGAAAGUAAUGUGAACAGAAACAGAAAACAAUAGUCAGAAGCUGAUUUAAAAAUUCAAUACCCAUUCAUUCAAUGAAGCCAAAGAGUACGAAGUACACAGUCAAAGUGGGUACAAAACAUUAAGCCAAAUACAAAAAUUGGAAAUAACACGAAGCAAACAACUUAAAGAGUCCUCUUAGCAACUCGCUCUUUGCGUGCCUUCAAUUCUUCUUUGAAUCUUCACAUCAUCCUUUCACAAAGCAAAACAAGGCCACGAGCCGAUGGAUGAGUGUUAUUUUCAUCCAUGUCCUCUAGAGCAUUUUCUAAUUUCCAUGGUAAGUCUAUGGCCACACCAUUACAAAACUCUAUGAGGUUAGCCAACUUCGUGCGGUAUGCAUCAAGGCUUGGAAUGGAUGAGUGUUAUUUUCAUCCAUGUCCUCUAGAGCAUUUUCUAAUUUCCAUGGUAAGUCUAUGGCCACACCAUUACAAAACUCUAUGAGGUUAGCCAACUUCGUGCGGUAUGCAUCAAGGCUUGGCUGCAGAAGGUUGAUGGUGCAUUCAUACUCAUCCAAUAUCUCAUUUAAAUGCUUCCUAUGAUUUAGCCAACCCAUGCUUUGGCUCUUCAUAGACUCAUAUUGUUCCUUCUAAUAACUAGCUAGCUCCUUGUUGGUAUUCAACUCAUCACACUUCUCUUCCCAGGCUUUAGGACAUAUUUGAGGGGUUCUUUGGGCUUGUUCCUUAAGACGUCUUUCACGCACCACUUCAGCUUCAGAGCUUCGAAGUUGCUCCUUCAGUUCUUGUAUUUGGGCUUCAAGCUCCUCCCUUACCUCCUUCUUUUGCUUAGUGGCUAGGUCCCACCAACGCUUCCACUCUUGUCCAUCUCUUUUAGCCUUAGCUAAUUCAUCACGGAGUGAACCUAAUCCACUAUCAGCCUGAUCUAGGCACUCCAAGACUCUUUCCUUGAGAUCUUGCUCAAUUUUGUUCUGCUUACGACUCUCAUCCAAAAGUUCCUUCCUUUGGUUACUCUUCCUUUUGAGAAUCAUAUUUUUCCCAGUUUCUUUGUAGAGUUCAGAUUGCAUAUCCUCUUUCUCCUUUCCAAGUUUAGCUACCAUGGCUCAAAGUUCUUCCACCUCUUCAAGAGAAACAGGGACUGGUUCUGGUGAAGUACACCUUAGAGGAAUCUCUAUAGAAAAAGGGAGCUUCACAACUUUAAUCCUCUCCGAGAUCCAUUGUUGAUAAGGAACCCUGGCUGCAUCAUUCUUCUUUACUAAUUCUAUUCCUUUGGUAUGCACCUUUUCCCAAGAUCGAAUGAUCUUACGGAGGAGAAAAGGAUCAUUGGUUCCCAUAUCAUUCAAAACCAUCUCUUCUAACUCUUUAUCAUCGGGCUUCCCACGCAUAGGUAUCCAAACUGUCGCAAAGCUACAUGGGGUUGUAGCUGAUGCAACCUUUAGAUCCUAUUAGUGGCACAUUUGGAAACUACCACAACUGAUAAUGAUUUUCUUCAACAUUUAGCUUGUGUCGGUACCAAAUGAUAUCCUUACUAGACAAAGACACCAGAGUUCUUGCCCACUCCCCAUUGGACAUUUCACUUAUGUGAGCAUCAGGCUUGAACACAUAUGAAUAAGCCAAUUAUAGAGGGAGGAACCAAACUUGUUUAUCCUUCCAAACGGCCCAAAAGAUACUUAUGGCAGCUGAAUCUAUAAAACCUUCACGGGUGGAGACAUAUCUAGCCCAUAUUGAGAAGAGCUAGUAUAUUUCAAUGCAUCCUAAGAUGUAUCACAAACAACCUUUCUGCUUCUUGGUAAGCCCUCCAAAAACCAAAGAGAUUCUCCCUUUUCUUCCAAUUAGCCAAUGCAUCAGAUAUGGGGAUGUGGAGGGCAAGGGCUAGCAUCUCUACCUCAGGUACCUGACCAAUCCUAUUGUACGGUGUCCUUCCUUUUAUAGAAAAUCCCAAGAUCCGGUCGAAUUCCUCCAAGGUUGGAGUCAACUAAAAGUCUUUGAAUAAGAAACUUCGAAGCGGAGGAUCAUAGAACUGAGCUAAAGCGGUGAUGGCUGGUGUUUGAACAUCCACUGAGAGAAGAUCCAAAAUGUGGCCAAACUUUCCUUGCAAAGUAACCCUGAAGCAUGCAGGAAGUUCAUUCAAAAGUCUUGAUAUGUUGGCAAUAUCUGGCAUUUUGGCUUUGAAUGGUAAUGUUUUCCUUCUUUCUAAACCCAUUACAAACAUUUUGUGCUAACAACUGCGUGUUCAAAAAUUCCCUGAAAACAAAAUUUUAUAUGAGUGUCAUGAUGUUAUGCAAAUGAUCAUGAAUGCAUGGUUUUUUUGGUUUUGGGAUAUCAUAAGGUAACUCAAAACACUCUAUUUGGUAGGCUUCUUAAUUGAUAGUUCUAAGUUGGUUACCCAUAAACCCACUCACGGGAUAGUUUCAACAUUUUUGAUAAGGUUCCCAGAGUCAUGGACCAUAAUCGUAUCAACAUCAUGCAACAGGCUAGCCGCUUUAUGACAAGAGUGACAAAAGGUCUCUUCUGAGCGGGGUUUUCAUGUUGGGUGCAACAAGGAGAGGCCCUUGGAGUCCAACAUUACGCAACCACCAAAGCAGAAACUGGUUCUAAGAGGGGGUCCUAGAGUCAUGGACCCUUCAUGAAUCAACGUCAUGCAACAGGCUAGCUGUCUUAUAACGAGAUCUACAAACAGGUCUACUCUAGGGGAGUCUUCAUGCUAGGCACGCAAGGAGUGGCCCUUGGGGACUAACACUACACAACUUCCAAUUCUAAACUUAUGUGUUCUCUCUUAUUUUUCCAAAGCUCGGGUGUAGAGGUUUAUUCAUGAUAUUAAAAUCCCAACACCCCCACAUAGAUAUAUAUACAUAUAUGAUAAAACAGAGAUAAAGAAAGCAUAUAACAAAGGAAGAAAAAUAAACAAACAAAACUAACACACAUACGAAAACCUAACUGAACUAGGGUUAACUCACUUAGGGAUCGGUAUUCCCCAGCAGAGUCGCCAUCUGUCGCACCUCGAAAAAUGGGGAUACGAUUUUAAGCGAAGCGCAAUCGCAUGCUCGCAUGAUGGACUGAACAGAGUCGCCACCGAACAUUAUUUAUUCCUAAAAAGGAAAGGGGAAAUAUCGAUAAAACCCAAGAAAGAACGACAAUGAUUAUGGUCGUCGCAAUCAAUAUCGGGGUCCAGGAGUCGGUUACGUAAGGGGAAGGUAUUAGCACCCCUCGCGUCCGUUGUAUUCAACGGGAACCGUUUAGUUAGUUUCGUUUUGAAUGUUAGCUUAUGCUAGUCUUUUCAAGUUAUUAUGAGGGAGAGAAUAAAAAGAAUCAAAAGAAAAGAGAAUAUGUUUUUGGAUCUUUGCAAUAAAGGGGACUAAACCUAAGUUUUUUAUUAAUGGGCCAGACAAGAUUUACAAAUCCUGCUCCUACGUAUCUCAAAAGAGAAGUCAAGGCUUACGUAGUUCUAGGUAGAAAAAUGUGUGUUUGUUGAUCGAUUUUAGCGAAAGCUAUAUUGUGUUAAUCGAUAAAAAACAUUAUUUUACCCAAAACAGAUUAGGAGCGGACGUAUACCACACAUCGAAUGGAUUUACAAAUCUACAUUCGGAAAAGCGUCAUUUAUCUCGACUCAACAAUCAUGGCCGAAACAUUGUUUUGCAUCACCUUAAGACGAUAUAUCUUUCGUUUAUGAAAAAGGUUUUUGAUUAGUCGUAAGGCGGCGAGAAAAGAGUUUGAUUGGUUGGAUUUAUUUUGAGUAUUGGCGAGAACUUGGAUGAGCGAGAUAUCCAUCUCGAAUCCUAGUCUCAGGAGUGCACGGUAUACACCAUGUUCCAUUUCCAUCUUACUUGACAAAAGUAUUUAUUAAAGAUUAAGUAUUUUUAGGUUUGAUUGAGAAAGGGGUUUGAAGAAACCGCAUUGACAACUUUAGACGAUGGCGAGAGCUAAUAUAGGUAAGGCAUCCACCUUGAAUCUUAAUCUCAUGAGUGCACGGUAUACACCAUGUUCCAUUUCCAUCCUUAUUGAAAAAGUGUUGAGGUAGGAAUUGAGUAUUUUUUUUUAGUUUGAAAGACGAAUAUUUAUAAGAACGAGACAUAAGCCCCGAGAUCGAUAAUUCAGGGUUCCACCGGAAUGCAAGAUUCCAAUGGUCCUUUUCUUUCGUGUUUUUUAAAAAAGGAAUUUAAUCGGGUUAUAAAGAUAGUUUAAAAAUAAAAUAAAAUUAUAGGGAUAAAAUUAAUUUUAUAAUUUUAUAUGUAUAUCGAAUUAAUUUUAUAUACAUAUAAUCGAGUUCCCACCAGAAUGCUAGAUUCUAAUGGGAGGAAAUUAAAUUAAAUGUCGAAACUAUGGAAAGUUAGUGAAUUUUACAUCGAAAAUUUAGCGAAUUUGAAUGUGAUUAUUUACAUGUGUAAAGGUAUGAACAUAGAUAUCAAUAACCUAAUUAAAUUAAUUAACACAUGGAAAUCAAUUAACCGUACCAAAUCCCAUAUAAAAAAAAAAGUCAAUAAUUAAGAAAAUCUAAAAAAUCUAAACAUUUAAAAUCUAAACAACUAAUUAACGAUUAAAUUAAAUUAAUAAAAAUAUAAAAGUAAAAUAAAUAGUAAAAAAUUAUAAAAAAUUUAAAUGAAAUAGUAAGCAUAAAAAAUAAAAAUAUGGAGGUAUGCUACUCCCAAGUAUCAAACCCAUCCCACUAAAGAAAGUGAAACUGCUCUCUCUCCACUAGGCCACUUAUAGUCAUUUGUAACCCUAAUAACAACUUGAAUAUAUAUACCAUAAUAGAUUAAAAAAAAAAACUAGAAUGAGAUGGUCUGUUGGACUAAUCGAAGCUCACAAAAAUGGUGAGAGGGAUCCCAAAAAUCAACCCUAGCCGCCUGGCUGUUGGGUGGGGAAUAACAACAGAUUAAUACCAGCAUACAAAAAUUAAUAAAGAAAAUGCCAAGAAAAACCAAAGCGUAGGUGGUUUUUAAUUAGGUUUUAAAUGCCAUUUUUUGAAAAUAAAUAAAAGAAACAGAAACGGAGACAUGUGAACCAAACCCCACCAAAUCGUUCGCUUCUCUCAGACAAACAACCUUUCCUCUCCCAAUCUCUCGCACCGUUCAAUCUCUCAAUCUCAUUCUAUUCCUCAACCAGAGCGUGAGAGCUGGAGUAAGUUAGAGAGUUAGAGCUGGAGUAAGUUUCUUUCAAUCUCGACCUCAUUCAAUCUUUCAAUACCCUACUCUCACUCUAAAUUCACAAUCGUGACUCUCAAAGAAUUAGCAAAGGAUGCUUACCUUUGUUGCUGGCCUCCAAGAACUCCCACGGUAGCUUUUCGGUGGAGAAUAUUAGGUUUUUUCGCUACAGCUCCCUCUUCUCUUCUAGGGUUUUUUCGUCGUCUGAAAGAUUAGGGUUUUUCGUCCUCCUCUAUCUCGCCUCUGCUUCGCUCCUUUUAUACUCACCACCUUAGGGUUUUGAGCUGGUUAUGGAGAUCCAAAAGGGUAUCUCUGCGAAAUCCUUUAGGAUGCUCAGUUUGUUUGCCCUAUUUGAUGUUUGAUCUAGAACGGUAAUGCAAACCUACACUUUCUUCUUCUAACUUCGUCUUAAUUCUCUUUUGGGGUAUUUGUUGAAUUUUUUUACCGCCUUGCUAAUUUACUUGUUUUUACUACAGUGAAAAUCGGAACAUUCAUGAGUGGUUUGAUGUCUUUUUAUGAUAUCUUGCACAACAGAGCAAAGGCUUCAAGAAGAACAGCAUGGGAAGCAUUGUUCUUUGCAUCGUUUGUGAACAGAUUCUCCUCCGGUGGGCGGUUCAAUUUCAAGUUCAAGUUGGUAUCAUGUUGUCGCGUCGCGGUUAAGCUAUUGUAGAAUGGUUCGCUGAAGAACUUUGGGUCACAAUACCGGUAUGCGGCUGCCAGAGUUUUGCAGGAUUAUGGAUAUCAUCUGGUGCGUGGCAUGGAUGUUUAGCAUAUCGUGGGUUUGAUAUCGGUCUUGAAUCAUGUGGAUUGUGGUAAGAUCUGCUAAUCGACUUGAAUUGCAAAGCUUAACUAUUGUUGCUGUCAUGAACUUCUAAGUGUGAAGAAGUGCUAGCUAUCACACUCGAUUUCCUCUUAGAUUUAAGUGUUAAAUGUUGCUUAUGGUCAAUGCGUUUACAAAAGGUUCAGUAAACCAAGUACAAUACGUAUAACUUUAUUUGUAGGUUUGUGCACUUGUUUAGAAACUUGACAUUAUGAUGGAAGGGUGAUGAAAAGGCUUUGUUGCUGGUUGGCUUAAUGAUGCAACUAAUGUGAUACAAACAUGCUUCGGGUUGGUUUUCCUCAUGGUUGCACCGGUUCAUGGCCAGGUUAUCUUGCACCUCGGUUAUGUGGCGCAUUAUUCAGGUACACUACCUUGUUUUUUUUCUUUUGAUAUGCACCAGGUAUGAUAUUGAUGAUGAUGACGCAUUGGUUUAAAUGCAAUGAUCUGUUGCUGAUGAAUUUGUUAUGUUGCUGUUAUGGCAGUGCAGGUUUCUUGUGUAUCAACUAAAAGUGUCGGUGUUUGAAUGUCUCAUAUGCUGUCUUUGCUGCUUGCUGCUGAUAUGGUAUUUGUUUCAAAUUCUUCUUCUGUCAGAUUUGAUCCAUGAUUCCCGAGCUCUCUUAAAAGUCAAAUUUAAAAUGCUGAGAAUUCCAACAAACUGUCUUUUGCAGAAAUCCCAAAGAGGAGCCAUGGGAAAUCUGGCUGAUUCCACAGUUGAAGAAUAUAAAAUCAUCAUCAUCUUCUUUUUCUUCCUUCUGCGUUCUCUGAUCUCCAUUCUUCAUCAUGAGCAGGUCAGGCCAGCCGCCGGAAUUGAAGAAAUACAUGGACAAAUAGCUUCAAAUCAAGCUGAAUGCAAAUCGUAUGAUUGUUGGUACUCUUCGUGGGUUUGACCAGUUUAUGAAUUUGGUUGUUGGCAAUCCUGUUGAGGUCAAUGGCAAUGAGAAGAAUGAUAUAGGGAUGGUGGUAAUCCUUGGAAAUAGUGUGGUUCCUGUAGAGGCACUUGAACCUAUAAACAGGAGCAUCUGAUUUCUGUUUCUUGUGAACAUUUAUAACUAAAUUGUAAGGUUUCAAGUUUCAACACAAACUGUUAUAUUGCUGGGAUCUCAAUAUGAUUGUGUUAGCGCCUAAUCUGAGGUUAUGUUUCUGGUUGAGUUUCAACAGAAUGAUUUUUUUGUGAUAUUAAAUUCUUCCAAACACCCUGUAAUGACAUAUUAGUUGAGAGUGAAAAAAAGU
This 18563-nucleotide long non-coding RNA is filed under the name Lathyrus oleraceus (garden pea). RNAcentral's name for it is "Pisum sativum (pea) long non-coding RNA (PSAT_LNC035471)". The record is from RNAcentral. Lineage: Eukaryota; Viridiplantae; Streptophyta; Magnoliopsida; Fabales; Fabaceae.